ACGUUCAUCAGAUCCAAUCUAUGUUCUGACCGGCUCAAGUAGCUUUAUGCUAAUUUUAACUGAAAGGGGUUUCUUAAAAAUGCUACAAUUACAAGUAUUGUGCUUGGGUCCAACAAGGACAGAGAAAAGGUCCCUAAAAAGGGUGAAUUCCUAAGUAACAGCUGGUACCGUUCAUCCAAUUUCAGGAAAUCACGGUACCCAUCUCAUCUUGUGGUUCCAUGUCUCCACAAUAAUAGACCAGGGUUUCUUGGAUGUUUUGUUUUUCUGUUAGUUGUAUGUAAGGAACAGAAUGGGCCUAUGUUGAAAUAACUGGCCUCAAUUUGGGCGUGAGCCACACCCUUCUCGCCCUGCCCAAGGGUCGGCUCUGAUGAGAUGAAAACUUGAUCUCAAGAUAAAAAAUAAAAAAUGAUGAGAUGGAAACCGAAAUCACUUGACAAAGGUUUCUUUUCCGUCAGAACCAGCCGUCUUUCUACCUCGGAACUCAUGAAAACUUAGCAUACCCACCUCGUUGGAGGACGGGCCAUGGCAUGGCAUGGCACCACGAGUUCAGAUAAUUUGCUUGCACUGCAGCACGAUGGUAUCCCAGGCUCUCAGUCCCAAAAUUUCUUCUGCGUCAUUAUAUUCCAGGUUCUCAACAUGCAGCUAUUCCAUGCUAUGCGCCUAUGCUGUCCUGCGCCUAGCUGACUAGUAGUUGCUCACAGGUCACACAGCACAGUUGGUAUGGGGCUAGGAAGCCAAGCCCGGCCACGAAAUUUUGCCCACUCUGUUCUUAACAACACUGGCUGCCACCUGUAACAGUCAAACAUCACAUAGCCGUUAGUAAAAGCUUGACCAAGUCCUUGUUCAUACUCCCUGUCCCAAACUAAAUGUCUCGAGCUUAGUACAACUUUGUACUAAAGGUAGUACAAACUUGAGACACUUAUUUUGGGACGGAGGGAGUAGAAGAUAUGAGCUCAAUGUAAACAUGGAUCAACUGGGGGGUAUUCAGCAACGCUGCCGCUCUUUUCCAAAAGCAAUGCAGCUGAAGAGAUGGUAUAACCCGCUCCAGUACAGAGUUAGAGCUAGUCAAUCUACAGUAAUAUAUUGAUCGGUAUAGCAAAAAAGUGCAGCACACUGACAAACAGCAAGAUCAAAACCUGAUCUAUCCUUCAGCUGGCUCCAGCCAUCAAAGCUUGGUAAUAUAAGACUUCAGAAAAAAGGGCAUAUCCCAGUUAGUAACGAUUUCAGCUACACUGAAGUGCUAUGUGUGACGCAUUUUCGUUGUCAGUCAAUUUGUUUACUCUAGCAUGUGAUAGUUAAUCCAUUACCCGGUGUUCCUAGUUUAAUAUCAUCUGAUCAGCAAACUAGCUACGGUUAGCAGGACAGUUUUUUCAGAGGUGGACAGCUUUGAAUAGCAGCCAAGCAAUCACAUUUGUUCAGUAUCGCCAUAGUGUAUACAAGCAUAUCUGCUCAUUGGUGUUUCUUGUUUUUUGUAGCGUACCAAUAACGCAGGAAGGAAUGCAGAUGUUCUGUGGAAAAUAAGUGCAUCUGGCAUUCACCUCUUCUUUUUUAAACCGGAA
This 1559-nucleotide long non-coding RNA is filed under the name Triticum aestivum (bread wheat). RNAcentral's name for it is "long non-coding RNA (TAES_LNC012410)". Lineage: Eukaryota; Viridiplantae; Streptophyta; Magnoliopsida; Poales; Poaceae. The record is from RNAcentral.